AUUAAACUGCGCGGCGUUGGUGCUCGCGGCGUGGUUCACACGCCGCAGUUCAACGGGAAGCAGGGAGGAGGCCGCCACGCGAUGGCGUCCACCGAGCCUGCGCUGCCCCCGCAACGGUCAGCGGCCGAAUCCUCGGAUUCACCUUUCACACCCAGUGCCACUGGGCGCCUUGAACAAGCGCCUGGGAAGGCCGUGAAAGGCGCGCCGCCAGCCCGGAUACCGGCCAACACGGUGGUUGCGUG
Molecule: non-coding RNA, 242 nt
Filed under: Acidovorax sp.
Lineage: Bacteria; Pseudomonadati; Pseudomonadota; Betaproteobacteria; Burkholderiales; Comamonadaceae
Source: RNAcentral